GGGGGCGGGGCUGUAGAGAGGCGUAGAAAGGUGAGAAGGUUGGGAAGAGGAGGAGGUAGUUGGGAGUUGUUGGAACUGGUAGGGGUUCCCGGUGGCCGGUGAACAGGAUUCUGGAAGCUGUGACGAAUUGUUUGAAAAGACUUGAGGAAUACCUGCUGCAUUCUCCUCGCUGUAUUCCAGCAUUAAGAAAGCCUGGGCACUGCUAAGUAUUUGACCCGUCAGACUGUACCUGCCACCUGAGAAUUUCUGACUAAUGACUCUGUGGACAAGAAGACCUUGGUGUUGAGUGCACUUAGCCUGGAAUUCUCACAGAGGCGCUGAGGGAGUCUUACCUUCCCCAAUGUCAGCCGUCCUAGCUGAAGUCUGGAGCUGGAUUUCUGCCCCCAUCUACCAAAUCCCUAACAUCUCCCUUUUCCAACCUGGCCUCUUUUAAUACAAACUGCUUUCUUAAAGCAAAAUGGGCCUUUUGUGUGUUCUUCCUAAGGUAAUCUACAAAAUUAAAAUAGUUGUUUAUUCCCUAGUCACUAAACUAUUGCAUAUUCCAUUGUUAAAUUUCAGAAAAUAGAAGAACAAAGAAAAGUAACCGUUACCAUGCAACCAAGUAUAACCACUACUUACUUUUUGGUACACAAUAUUUCUUCCCUUGGACAUACCGCACACACAGAUUGUCUCUGCGCUUUCAGCCACAGCCACUGGCACCUUUAAUCCUUCCUGCUGUGGGCAAACCUAUUUCACCCAAUGCGUGAAACCUUUUGCGAUUUUUUCCAUCUGUAUUCUUACAGCAUUCAUGUUGUAUGAUAAUUACCUAUUCUUAUGUCUUUUGGACCAAGUUCCUGGGAGCAAGCUAAAGUUCUAGAACUAUUAGAAUAAAGCAAGAGAUAGAAGAGACCAGAAUGUCAGAUGCACAAGUGGUUUCACAGACCAGUUUGUGAACUGGGGUUCAUCUAUGGUGAAGUUUCUGCAGAUCAGCGGAGGAAUGAGAAAAGGAUAUAUAUAAGUGGCAGAGGAUCUAUGCCUCUUCUCUGGAGCACAAACAUGGUAUGGCUGACUAUGUUCCUCAUAAGCAGUUGGAUGGUUCCUCCAGAAGCAGUCUUUAAGCCAAGAAUUGAGCAUAAGUGGUUUGCUAAUACCCAGCCCCAGAAGAAGAAACCAGUAAGGGAGUAGAAGAAGCAGACUGAGGAGAGGGAAGAACCUAAAAGAGGUCAUAAGGGUGUAGAAGAUAGCAGUGCACACCAAGGGCAUGCAGAAAUAGAACCCGAAGAGCCACCAAUCCUUUACAUCUUGGUAAAACUGUAAGAUUGUUUAUUUACGAAGGAUAACGCGGCCUCCUGUAUCAUCUCAGUUCCCACAGUAAAAAAUAAUCAUGCUGCUCUGUGAAAAACUGGACAGUUGCUGAAUAUAGAAAGAGGCCCAGUAGGCUACACUUGUAACAUGUCUAUUAAAAAAAUCUAUAAAUGGCUCCUGAGGAAAAAAAGUUCUGGGCAGAAGUUCUUAACUGUUCUUAUGCCAUCGACCCCUUUGAAGGUCUGGUGAAGACUGUAAUCCUUUCUGAGAAUAACACUUCUAUAUGCCUAAAAGUAAGAUUACAGUGGUAACCACUUACAUUGAAACACAGCUAUUGAAAUAGUAAAAAGAAUAUUCUGAUAUAGAAAUAGAGGUGUUUAUUAACAAGUUAAGGGAAAAAAUCUAAUGGUGGUUCUAAUAACUAUCAGAAGUUGAAAAGUGAUGAGCAUAAAUGAUAUUUCAAGAUUAUCCAACUGUUAUUGUGACAAGAAAAUGUCUGUUAUUCCUAUUAGUAGAAAUAUGGUUCUGUUAAAUAUGCUUGUGGUUCAUUGCCUACAUUCAUAAUAGAAGGAAAUGAUAAAUUCCAAUUAGAAGUUAGUGAAAAUGAAUAUGUAAUCUCUUUUCCAUUUAAGUUCACAGACCCCUCCCUGAAUUCUAUCCUAAAGUUACUGUAAACUACAAAGGAGUUGGUUUAUUCAGAUGUAUUCAUACAAAUAUCUCCCUCUCCAUAUCACACUGUAGAAGAUUUCAGUACUGAAGUCAAAAAACCAAAAAAAAAAAAAAAA
Molecule: long non-coding RNA, 2069 nt
Organism: Mustela erminea (ermine)
Lineage: Eukaryota; Metazoa; Chordata; Mammalia; Carnivora; Mustelidae
Exons: 6
Source: RefSeq, a predicted model, not a curated record